This 77-nucleotide transfer RNA is filed under the name Mycobacterium phage Nanosmite. Its description in RNAcentral is "tRNA-Thr". It matches the Rfam family "tRNA". From Rfam's summary of the family: Transfer RNA (tRNA) molecules are approximately 80 nucleotides in length. Their secondary structure includes four short double-helical elements and three loops (D, anti-codon, and T loops). The record is from RNAcentral. Lineage: Duplodnaviria; Heunggongvirae; Uroviricota; Caudoviricetes; Vilmaviridae.
GCUGGUGUAGCUCACGUUGGCCCCGAGCACCUGUCUAGUAAACAGGAGGACGCAGGUUCGAUCCCUGUCACCAGCCC